AAUAUAUGAGAAAACGUGAAAGGUCGUUUUCGUUUAUGAUCUUCCCUCUUGUUUAAAAAAGGAAACUACAGAAUAUAAAGAAAACCAAAUCAGUAGCAAAUUGCUUCCAUUUUCUCGCACUGUGUUCUGCUUCUUCUAUCAAAUGCAGGUACUUCCUCUGUCUCUCUUUGUACUGAAGUGAGAGAAUGGCUUUUCUGGUUUCAAUUUUCAACUCAUGUUUUAAACAAUAAUUCGCAUCUAUUUAAAGUUAAAUUGCAUUCACCAAAUUCAAUAGCCUCUCCAGUUCUCUAAAACCGAAAUAAGCUAGUUCAGAGGAUCUGGCCCAAGCAUAAAAAUUAUUUAUUUCUUCUCAAUUUCUAUAAAGCUGGUAAAUUUAUUUAGAAGACCAGCCAAAUGUAAAAUGAUUAAAUUAGGACAUCAUAAACGCCAAGCUGCAUAUGGGGUUGACACUUUACCUGGACCUAACUAUUUCUUCUUUCAUGGCAAGUGAAAGAGAACUGAGAUUGCCUCCACUUUCCACUAUUACCCCUGGCAUGGCAAUUGCCCUGCUUCCCACAAACCCACCUUCUCCAACUUUUAUUUUACCGAAUUUAACCUUUCCUUCAUCUCCUUCAUAUACGUGUCCAAACAAAAGAGCUUCUUUUCCAACACAGCCACCUUUCUCUAUCUCCACCAUUUCUGGAUUCAAUGCAGCUCCCAUGCUAUCUACGUAGGCCCCUUGAUCCAAUUCAAUAUCUGAACCCAUCAAUUUCAACCAUAGAUUAAACAAGACGGAGCCACUUGUCAUUUCCAUGAAAUAAUCCCCAACUACAGUUCUAAAAGCCUGCCAUAUUGUAUCCCUGAAGACCCCUUUACUCCAAAUUAAUACUGUUUCCCCUUCUUUCUUCUUUCCCACAAGAAUCCAUUUGGCCACAACACAAGCUAUUGCAGCAAGAAUCCCUGAAGAAACCCAAACCAAUGGGAGUAACCAACGAAGUGAAAGUUGCUUGCUUUCCUUCAAGAAAAGGACCCAGUUUAAAGGAGCAAAGAUUACCAAUCCCAUGAGGAAAUAUGGAAACAACGUUUGCAACAAUGGCUGAGCAAAAAUGGCCCAUGAAGUUUGAUACCAAGUUCUUGCCAGAGUUACCUUUCCUGAAUCUUUUUUCUCUAAAAUUGCAGCCAUUGGACAACCUGAAAGGUCUACUUUAACAUCAGAUUGCUCUAUAAACGUUCUCCAAGCCUCUGGAAGGGGUUCCCCAUUUCGCAAAUGCUGACAAAUUUCAUAGAUCAAAGAACGACCAUGAUCAAUUGAUGCACUUUGGGAGCAUGAUGUGGCUCUGAUAACAUCCACCUCAGAACAUCUAAGGUAAGGAUUAAACUCGAGUCUUUCUGAUUCUUCACUGGUGAGAUUUUGAUCAAUAGUAAUUUCCCCAGCAUCAAGGUAUGGGAAUUCAGUUUCAUCCCAUGGUCUGGUGCAGUCAAGUGCUAUGUCACGAGUGGCUUCAUCGGUUGGAACUGCUCGGACUUGCAGCUGGAAAAUGUAGC
This 1524-nucleotide long non-coding RNA is filed under the name Jatropha curcas. Its description in RNAcentral is "long non-coding RNA (JCUR_LNC003441)". Lineage: Eukaryota; Viridiplantae; Streptophyta; Magnoliopsida; Malpighiales; Euphorbiaceae. The record is from RNAcentral.